AGGCUGAGGCAGGAGAAUUGCUUGAACCUGGGAGGUGGCGGUUGCAGUGAGCCAAGAUCAUGCGACUGUACUCUAUCUAGCCUGAGAGAGAGAGCGAGACUCUGUCUCAAAAAAAGAAAAAAAAA
Cebus imitator (Panamanian white-faced capuchin) is the source of this 125-nucleotide long non-coding RNA. RefSeq lists it as uncharacterized. The record is from RefSeq and is a predicted model, not a curated record. The transcript has 2 exons. Lineage: Eukaryota; Metazoa; Chordata; Mammalia; Primates; Cebidae.